RNAcentral lists this unclassified non-coding RNA (1036 nucleotides) under Hevea brasiliensis (rubber tree). The record is from RNAcentral. Lineage: Eukaryota; Viridiplantae; Streptophyta; Magnoliopsida; Malpighiales; Euphorbiaceae.
UAACAUUCAAGAUCCUUUAAGGAUGACUGAAAAACUACAACACAAUACUAUUCAGAUAGAAACAGCAACAGUUCUAUGUUGUUACAGAAUUACAAGCAAGUGGUUACACAAACUGAACAAGCUUUCUUCCUCUAAACUACACGUUGGUUAGCUCGAACGAGCUCUGGGAAAACACAACAUACCUAACCCUCUCUCUGUAACACAUCAUGAAAAGCAUGACAUACAACACUAGUUCUAAACCCCUAUUAUGAACUGUCCUUAGUGGACAUAUUGUACAUUAUUGAAAAGUUCAUUCACUUGCGUUCUUCUGAGACUUGGGCAGUGACCGAGCUAGCCUGACCAUCAGCACCCGAAGGGUCAGUUUCAGAGUUGUCUUGUUUGUUUCCUCCACGUGCAUCACCGGCACCUGAAGUUGUAAGCUGGCUAACAUUACUUGUAACACCAAGAAUGGAGUGCAUUCCACUGUUGGCACCUCCAAGUUGCAUACCUUGCUGCUGGCGCUGUAGUUGUUGAUGUUGAAGCUGCUGCUGAUCGUGUAGUUGCUGGGGGUUGUUGAACUGCAGUGGCAUCUUUGAAGUAAACAUACCCUGUUGUUGAGUCAUCGCUGCAGCUUGAGGGUGCUGCAUGUAAAAUCCUCCUUGUUGCAUUGCAGGAUGAGGAGCCAUUUGCGUUGGAAUAGCUGGUGAUUGUGGUUGAGCAUCAGCAAUAGCGGCCAAGUACAUCAAGUUCUUCUGAAGUUUAGCCUGGUACUGUGCACAUUCAGCUAGUUUCCCAAGAUUUUGAUGGUCCAAUAUGGCCAAAAUCAAUGUCUUGUUCUCGUCUAGGUACUUUUGAAUCUGCUCAGUAGUGAUAUUAGCAGAAGGAAAAGAUGGCAUCAUCGAUGGUGGUUGCUGCAUCCUUGUAAACUGCAAAAUCCUGCUCUUGAUUAUUGUUCUUUCAGAAACCCUAGUUUUUCUAAUUGAAGAACAAAAAGGGGGGAAAUCCCCAAUUUUUGAGAGUUGGGUUAGGUGGAAGAGAAGUGUGCGGCGGGUUCCGG